This 402-nucleotide ribosomal RNA is filed under the name bacterium. RNAcentral's name for it is "partial 16S ribosomal RNA". It matches the Rfam family "Bacterial small subunit ribosomal RNA", at positions 355 to 776 of the family's 1533-position model. The record is from RNAcentral.
UGGGGAAUUUUGCACAAUGGGGGAAACCCUGAUGCAGCGACGCCGCGUGAUUUAGAAGGCCUUCGGGUUGUAAAAAUCUUUUUUACGGGAUGAAAAUGACAGUACCGUAAGAAUAAGGUCCGGCUAAAUACGUGCCAGCAGCCGCGGUAAUACGUAUGGACCGGGCGUUGUCCGGAAUCAUUGGGCGUAAAGGGUACGUAGGCGGCCUAAUAAGUUAGAAGUGAAAGAAUAUAGCUCAACUAUAUAAAGCUUUUAAAACUGUUAGGCUUGAGAGAUGAAAGGGAAAGUGGAAUUCCUAGUGUAGCGGUGAAAUGCGCAGAUAUUAGGAAGAAUACCGGUGGCGAAGGCGACUUUCUGGUCAUCAUCUGACGCUGAGGUACGAAAGCGUGGGUAGCAAACAGG